UCCCUGGUGGUCUAGCGGCUAAGGAUCCUGCACUCUCACUACAGCGGCCCGGGUCUGAAUCCUAAGCAGGGAA
Pangasius djambal is the source of this 73-nucleotide non-coding RNA. NCBI's taxonomy places the organism in Eukaryota, Metazoa, Chordata, Actinopteri, Siluriformes, Pangasiidae. The record is from the annotation of a GenBank genome assembly.